UACGGAGGAUGCAAGCGUUAUCCGGAAUGAUUGGGCGUAAAGCGUCCGCAGGUGGCAUUGUAAGUCUGCUGUCAAAGCGUCUGGCUCAACCAGAUAAAGGCAGUGGAAACUACAUAGCUAGAGUAAGGUAGGGGUAGAGGGAAUUCCUGGUGUAGCGGUGAAAUGCGUAGAGAUCAGGAGGAACACCUGUGGUGUAGACAGCUUACUGGACGAUAACUGACGCUGAGGCACGAAAGCGUGGGUAGCAAACAGG
Molecule: ribosomal RNA, 253 nt
Filed under: uncultured bacterium
Lineage: Bacteria
Description: partial 16S ribosomal RNA
Rfam family: Bacterial small subunit ribosomal RNA
Source: RNAcentral